RNAcentral lists this ribosomal RNA (1380 nucleotides) under uncultured bacterium. RNAcentral's name for it is "bacterial SSU rRNA". It matches the Rfam family "Bacterial small subunit ribosomal RNA", at positions 18 to 1396 of the family's 1533-position model. The record is from RNAcentral.
CCUGGCUCAGGAUGAACGCUAGCGACAGGCCUAACACAUGCAAGUCGAGGGGCAACAGGUAUCAGCUUGCUGAUACGCUGGCGACCGGCGCACGGGUGAGUAACGCGUAUGCAAUCUGCCUGUAACAGGGGGAUAACCCGGAGAAAUCCGGCCUAAUACCCCAUAACGAUACCUAUCCGCAUGAAUAGGUAUCUAAAGGAUUUCCGGUUACAGAUGAGCAUGCGUUCCAUUAGCUAGUUGGCGGGGUAACAGCCCACCAAGGCCACGAUGGAUAGGGGUUCUGAGAGGAAGGUCCCCCACACUGGUACUGAGACACGGACCAGACUCCUACGGGAGGCAGCAGUGAGGAAUAUUGGUCAAUGGGCGGAAGCCUGAACCAGCCAAGUCGCGUGAAGGAGACAGCCCUACGGGUCGUAAACUUCUUUUGUAUGCGAGUAAAAGAGGCCACGCGUGGCCUAUUGCAAGUAACAUACGAAUAAGCAUCGGCUAACUCCGUGCCAGCAGCCGCGGUAAUACGGAGGAUGCGAGCGUUAUCCGGAUUUAUUGGGUUUAAAGGGUGCGUAGGCGGCCCUAUAAGUCAGCGGGAAAAUUUUCGGCUCAACCGAAAAGUGCCGUUGAAACUGUAGAGCUAGAGUACACAAGAGGUAUGCGGAAUGCGUGGUGUAGCGGUGAAAUGCAUAGAUAUCACGCAGAACCCCGAUUGCGAAGGCAGCAUACUGGGGUGAAACAGACGCUGAAGCACGAAAGCGUGGGUAUCGAACAGGAUUAGAUACCCCGGUAGUCCACGCCGUAAACGAUGAAUACUAACUGUUUGCGAUAUACAGUAAGCGGUACAGCGAAAGCGUUAAGUAUUCCACCUGGGGAGUACGCCGGCAACGGUAAAACUCAAAGGAAUUGACGGGGGCCCGCACAAGCGGAGGAACAUGUGGUUUAAUUCGAUGAUACGCGAGGAACCUUACCCGGGCUCAAACGCAUCUGGAAUAAAGGGGAAACCCUUUAGCUAGCAAUAGUCAGAUGCGAGGUGCUGCAUGGUUGUCGUCAGCUCGUGCCGUGAGGUGUCGGCUUAAGUGCCAUAACGAGCGCAACCCUUAUCGAUAGUUACUACCAGGUCAAGCUGAGGACUCAAUCGAGACUGCCAGCGUAAGCUGCGAGGAAGGUGGGGAUGACGUCAAAUCAGCACGGCCCUUACGUCCGGGGCGACACACGUGUUACAAUGGCAGGGACAACGAGUAGCCAAGCAGCAAUGCCGCGCCAAUCUCCAAACCCUGUCCCAGUUCGGAUCGGAGUCUGCAACUCGACUCCGUGAAGCUGGAUUCGCUAGUAAUCGCGCAUCAGCCAUGGCGCGGUGAAUACGUUCCCGAGCGUUGUACACACCGCCCG